Long non-coding RNA from Prionailurus viverrinus (fishing cat), 664 nucleotides. RefSeq lists it as uncharacterized. NCBI's taxonomy places the organism in Eukaryota, Metazoa, Chordata, Mammalia, Carnivora, Felidae. The record is from RefSeq and is a predicted model, not a curated record. The transcript has 3 exons.
CCCGUUGCCAGGGUUACCUGAGGCCCUGAUUUAAUGAGUGGGAUGGGUACCAGAGCUCCAAUAGCAGUUCAACUACGAGAAUAAUUUGUAGAUGGUAGGUGCCCAAUACAAUACACUACUUAUUAAACGAUGAAAAGCAGCGUAUUUCAUGGAGGAAGACAUCUUUGAAUAUGGACUUCACCAUGGCCUGGUUACCUCAGAGUGUGACUGGAGCUUCCCGUGCAACGGCCCUGCAGAAAACCAACCUCACCGCCCAGGAACUUCAGGAAGCAGGUCGCCAACAUCAAAACUUCCAAAAAACAUCAAAAGAGACAGUUGAAGCAGUCUCAGAGGAGCCUGGCCUGGGGCUCUUCCUGCGGGCGGGUCUACCCCUUCCUUAUGGAAGGAGGCGCAAUCAGCUUUGUGGACAAGAUAUACUGCGAUGGGUAUUUUAAGUAAUACAAGCUGGUAAAGAUCAAGCUUCACUAGAAUAUUUUUGUUAAGGGUCCACAAGCACUGGGGCUUACUUCUAGGGACCCAACCAGGAACUACAGAAGCUAAGAAGACCCAAACCAGGCUCGAGCAAAGGGCAGGAGAAAAUUUGGCAGUCUGGUGGGCUGGGUGAGUUACUCAGCCAGAGGGAAUUGCAUUUGCAGAGGGAGCUUGGCGGCCAGUCAUGCCUGGG